UUCGCGUUUUAAACGCCCACACGAGUAAUCAAAUAUUAAUAAACAACAUUUAGUUAUGUAAAAUUAUUGGUAUGUAAUUUUCUAGUGUAUGCAAAUGCAUACAUAAGAUCACUGCAAUUAAAAAGUAAUUAAUAAUAUUUUAUUAAGUUACUCUCAAAAAAAUAAUUAAGAAACCUUUUUU
RNAcentral lists this unclassified non-coding RNA (181 nucleotides) under uncultured SAR86 cluster bacterium. Its description in RNAcentral is "partial 16S-23S ribosomal RNA intergenic spacer". The record is from RNAcentral. Lineage: Bacteria; Pseudomonadati; Pseudomonadota; Gammaproteobacteria.